GACGAACCGAGCGAACGUUAUUCGGAAUCACUGGGCUUAAAGGGCGCGUAGGCGGGCGGUCAAGUCCGGGGUGAAAGCCCCCAGCUCAACUGGGGAAGUGCCUCGGAUACUGGUCGCCUCGAGGGAGAUAGGGGCGUGCGGAACUUCCGGUGGAGCGGUGAAAUGCGUAGAUAUCGGAAGGAACACCGGUGGCGAAAGCGGCGCGCUGGAUCUCUUCUGACGCUGAGGCGCGAAAGCCAGGGGAGCGAACGGG
Molecule: ribosomal RNA, 253 nt
Filed under: uncultured bacterium
Lineage: Bacteria
Description: partial 16S ribosomal RNA
Rfam family: Bacterial small subunit ribosomal RNA
Source: RNAcentral